Long non-coding RNA from Gossypium raimondii (Peruvian cotton), 1100 nucleotides. RefSeq lists it as uncharacterized. The record is from RefSeq and is a predicted model, not a curated record. The transcript has 2 exons. Lineage: Eukaryota; Viridiplantae; Streptophyta; Magnoliopsida; Malvales; Malvaceae.
UCUAACUGUAAGCGAUGGGUCAAAGCUCUAAAUCCAUGAUUCUUUUUGUACUUCAGAAACCCUUUUUUCUUUUCCCUUUUGUUUCUAAACAAAGGAAAAAAAAUGUUACGAUGAAUCAUCUUUUCUAACUUUUUGCCUCUGCUUUCUUUGCUUCUUAACUAAUAGACUUCUAUGGGUGUUUAAAAUUUGUUGUUUUUUUUCUUAUUGUAAAAGAAAAAGAAAAAACCUGCAGCUCAACUGAAACAAUUUCAAGAGCAACAUAAAGGAAAAGAUUUGGCUUCAAGCAUCACAUAAAAUGGAUCUGCCACUACCUCAGCCUCCAAUGGAAUCGUUGGCAAGGCGUUACAAGUUUCUCUCUUCUCUUCUCUUGGCUAUCAGCUUUACUGUUUGAGCUUACCUUCUCAUGAGAACAAAGAAAAAGGAUGCAAGUAUAACAGAAGAAAUUGCUGGUUCAACGUCUGUUUCAAGUUCAACUACAACUGGUACUGCUCCUCCAGUUAUGGACAACCUUAGACCGAUGAUUCCUGAGAACCUGCAGCAAAGGAAUGUGAAACUAAAAGCUCCAGUGGAGAAGCAGCCUCGAUGAAGAGAAAGCUAUACUUGAAGCAAUCGAUUCUAGUAAAAUCCAUUCCUAAGAUAUGACAGUUAGCCUUUACUUUGAUUUUAACUCUUCAAAGGUUUUUGGUUUCCUUAACAUGUUGGUUUAGUGAAAUCUGAAAGAAAUUGUUUUCUUAAGAUCUACAUUGUAGAUACAAUUAUUUCCCUGUAAAAGGGAAAUGUUUAUGACAUUAUUGCUCCACUGUGCCAACCUUACUUAAAUCUGCAAUGCAUAAUUGGAGAUUACUUUUGGAGUUUUGAGACUGCAGUUAAACCAUCAUCAGCUGGCGUCCACCUGCAGGCUUUGAACUUGGAAGAGCAGUUUAAGACUCGAGAAUGGUCUGUGUGAUUGACAGUGACCUAUAUAUAUAUCAUUCAACUUAAUGGCCUGUCUGAGUUGAAAUAAACAAAGAAUAUAAAUUGUUUUGUAAUAAUCUUCAACUGCACCGUUGCCUAUAGAUUACUUGUAAAAGGAGUGAUAACUCUAAUAUCUUUGUUUCUUA